RNAcentral lists this long non-coding RNA (246 nucleotides) under Hordeum vulgare. Its description in RNAcentral is "long non-coding RNA (HVUL_LNC008175)". Lineage: Eukaryota; Viridiplantae; Streptophyta; Magnoliopsida; Poales; Poaceae. The record is from RNAcentral.
CGAGACAACGAACCUUCGCAACGGUGCACACUUAGGGGAAUAUGUUCUCGAAAUUUUGAGAGGGAUCAUCUUAUUAUGCUACCGUCGUUCUAAGCAAUAAGAUGAAAAACAUGAUAAACAUCACAAUGCAAUCAUAUAGUGACAUGAUAUGGCCAUUAUCAUCUUUGCUCUUUCGAUCUCCAUCUUCAGACAUCGCAUGAUCAUCAUCGUCACCGGCGUGACACCAUGAUCUCCAUCAUCGUGUCU